RNAcentral lists this ribosomal RNA (551 nucleotides) under uncultured archaeon. RNAcentral describes it as "bacterial SSU rRNA". It matches the Rfam family "Archaeal small subunit ribosomal RNA", at positions 326 to 879 of the family's 1478-position model. The record is from RNAcentral.
CGGGGUGCAGCAGGCGCGAAAACUUUGCAAUACACGAAAGUGUGACAGGGUCAUCCCGAGUGCCGACCGCUGAGGUUGGCUUUUACCCAGUCUAGAAAGCUGGGGGAAUAAGGAGAGGGCAAGUCUGGUGUCAGCCGCCGCGGUAAUACCAGCUCUCCGAGUGGUGUGGACGUUUAUUGGGCCUAAAGCAUCCGUAGCUGGCUGAACAAGUCCCCUGUUAAACCCACCGAUUUAAUCGUUGGUCUGCGGGGGAUACUGCUCGGCUAGGGGACGAGAGAGGCAGACGGUAUUCCCGGGGUAGGGGUGAAAUCCUAUAAUCCCGAGAAGACCACCAGUGGCGAAGGCUGUCUGCUAGAACGCGCCCGACGGUGAGGGAUGAAAGCUGGGGGAGCGAACCGGAUUAGAUACCCGGGUAGUCCCAGCUGUAAACGAUGCAGACUAGGUGUUUGGACGGCCACGUGCCGUUCUAGUGCCGCAGGGAAGCUGUUAAGUCUGCCGCCUGGGGAGUACGAUCGCAAGAUUGAAACUUAAAGGAAUUGGCGGGGGAGCAC